Molecule: RNA transcript, 2738 nt
Organism: Arachis stenosperma
Lineage: Eukaryota; Viridiplantae; Streptophyta; Magnoliopsida; Fabales; Fabaceae
Gene name: histone-lysine N-methyltransferase, H3 lysine-9 specific SUVH1-like
Exons: 4
Source: RefSeq, a predicted model, not a curated record
GUACGGCUUUAAAGUCUAAACUCUAAACUCAAGAUACUAUUCAUUAUUAAACUAUUUUCUUCAUCAAAGGCUUGAAUUGAAUCCACUACUUGCUCUUCUCAGAACCCAAAAUCUCACUCUCUCUUUUGCUUCCAUCAUCUUCAUUCUUCACCCCUCAGAUUCAUGUUUCUUUCUCUGUCAGAGAGCUUCAGCAAUAAGAAAAAGAAAAUGAUGGGAUUUUCCAAGUUGGGGUUUGAAAUUAAGUUGUGAAAGUUGAGAAAGAGUAGGUUAGGAUGGUUUUUGUUUGAGGUGAAAAAGAGAGGAAUUUGAAGCUUUUGGAAGCUUGGUUUUGUGUGAGUGUUUGUUUGAAGUGAAAAAGGGUCUGCAAUGGAAGAAGGGUUAGCUCAAAACUCAGUUCCACCUUCAGGUCCCAUUGAUAAGUCAAGGAUUCUGGAUGUGAAACCGAUGCGUAGUUUGAUACCGGUGUUCCCAAUGUCACCUCAAGCUCCAGCCUCUGGGCAGUACCCUUCUGGGUUUUCACCAUUUUUCCCAUUUGGUGGACCUCAGCAAGGAUCUUCAGGGGCCCCAAGGGGUGGUGCGAUACCGGCUCCGAUACGGGCUUAUAGGAGCCCUGCUGGGGCAGGAGACGGUGGCACGUCGAUGGAUGGGUCUAGUGGGAGGAAGAAUGCAGCUUCUCGAAGUGCUAGAUCAGCUGCAAAGAGGAAUAAGAAAGCUGUAGGAGUACCUGUUGAUGCAAGUGGUUUGGUUGGUAUAAGCCCGGCUCAAAGGGAAGACGGAAGCCAGGAAGUUGUUCAUCUUAUAAUGACAACAUUCGAUGCUAUUCGGAGAAGGAUCUGCCAACUUGAUGAUGCCAAGGAAUUGAGCAGCGGGUCGAUCAAGCGGUCGGAUCUUAAAGCUUGCAAUACUUUGAUGAGCAAAGGGAUUCGAACAAACUUGAGGAAGAGAGUGGGAGCAGUUCCUGGGGUUGAGAUAGGGGAUAUCUUCUAUUUCCGAAUGGAGUUAUGUAUUGUUGGUCUGCAUGCUCCCUCCAUGGGUGGAAUUGACUCUUUGCAUGUGAAGGGUGAGUUCGAGGAGGAAAUUAUCGCUAUAAGCAUUGUUUCAUCAGGAGAAUAUGAUGAUGAAGCUGAGGAUAAUGAUGUUAUAAUUUAUACUGGUCAGGGUGGCAACUUCAACAAGAAAGAUAAGCAUGUGACAGAUCAAAAGCUUGAAAGGGGUAAUCUUGCUUUGGAUAGAAGUUCGCGACAACGCAACGAGGUAAGAGUCAUUCGGGGCAUAAGAGAUGGCGCCAAUCCAAAUUCAAAGAUCUAUGUCUAUGAUGGUCUGUAUAAAAUCCAAGAUUCUUGGGUGGACAGGGCAAAAAGUGGCGGUGGUGUGUUCAAGUAUAAGUUGGUAAGAGUUCCGGGGCAGCCGAGUGCGUUUGCUGUUUGGAAAUCAGUUCAGAAAUUCAAGUCUGGAUUCCCUUCGAGGACUGGGCUUAUUAUUGGAGACCUCUCCUCAGGAGCCGAGAGUAUUCCGGUAUCACUUGUCAAUGAUGUUGAUAAUGUGAAGGCGCCUGCAUAUUUCACUUACUUCCAUUCCCUCAGGCAUCCGAAAUCCUUCAGUUUGAUGCAGCCUUCACAUGGCUGCAGCUGUGGUAAAUCAUGUGUCCCUGGUGAUUUGAACUGCUCUUGCAUUAGGAGAAACGACGGAGAUUUUCCCUACACCGGUGGCAGCAUUUUGGUGAGUCGAAGGCCGCUGAUUCAUGAAUGUGGUCCCACAUGCCAGUGUUUCCCUAACUGCAAAAAUCGAGCCUCCCAGACCGGUCUGAAGCACCACAUGGAAGUGUUCAAAACAAAGGAUAGAGGAUGGGGUCUUAGAUCACUGGAUCCUAUUCGUGCCGGUUCUUUCAUUUGCGAGUAUGCAGGAGAAGUUAUUGAUCAAGCAAGGUUGAAUCAGCUCGCGAAGGAAGGAGAUGCUAAUGAAUAUGUUUUCGACACAACUCGAAUUUAUGAGGAAUUCAAGUGGAACUAUGAACCUAGAUUACUCGAAGAAGUGAGCACAAAUGACUCUACAGAGGACUACACUAUGCCGUAUCCUCUUAUUAUUAGUGCCAAGAAUGUUGGGAAUGUAGCUAGAUUCAUGAACCAUAGUUGCUCCCCCAAUGUUUUCUGGCAACCUAUCUUAUAUGAAGAAAACAAUCAAUCAUUCCUACAUGUGGCGUUUUUCGCAAUCAGUCACAUUCCCCCGAUGAACGAGUUAACCUAUGACUAUGGUAUUGCUAGUUCUGGGCAUGCUGGUGGUAGCAGAGAUUCCAAAGGGAAAAAGAGAUGCUUAUGUGGAUCGUCAAAAUGCCGCGGUUCCUUUGGUUGAUAUUUUGUUGCAGACGCUUUCCGACUGGCACGAUAAUGAGUUGUGCCGGAAUCCUUGGGGAUGGAAAUCCGUGUCGAGGCAUGAUUGAUUGUGUGAUGAGGUCCGGUAGAGCGGGACACAGGCCAUCGAAGUUGAGAUUGCCGGAUUAUGGGAUUCGGUUUGGGUAGGGCCGAGUAGGCUGGCCGGUCAAAACUUGUGAUUGAGUUUUUCUCAUUUCUUUAUCUGAAAUUCGGUUUUGGAUUGUGGAGAUGGAUGAUGGCACUCUUAGGUCAAAAGCCAAAUCCCAGUUAAGAAGUUCCAAGCUUUUUGGAUUCAUGCUUCCAAAUAUCAUUUUCAAUAGUUAAUUGUGUUUAGUGGGUAUUAAUAAAUUGUGUAUGUCUCUUUCUCUC